Molecule: RNA transcript, 1535 nt
Organism: Panicum virgatum (switchgrass)
Lineage: Eukaryota; Viridiplantae; Streptophyta; Magnoliopsida; Poales; Poaceae
Exons: 4
Source: RefSeq, a predicted model, not a curated record
AGUCACACUUGACACUCCGACACGCAGUCGAAGCUCGCGAGACCAACGCCAAGCGGAGGCCGCCUCCGAUGAAUCCGUCCAUGGGGAAGCGCGGGGGCUCGUCCAGCCGUGCGACAGCGACAGCACCGGGCGCGUCCUCCUCCAACGCCGCCGGUCCGGCCUCCGAUGGCUCCAAUCCCGGUGCCACCACCGGUGGGAGGAAGCGGAAGGCCGCGGCGGCCCCUCGGAAGGCACAGGAUCACAGAACAUAUCACAUCGAGGUGUACUACGGGCACAAAAGAAGCAGCGAAGAGAUUUUUUGUAUGAGAGGAGAAGAUUUGAAUGCAUGCGGCCACAUAGUGGCGGAGCUGCCGCAGCCGUGGCCGAUGACAUUGGUGGAUGUGAAGCUCUGGAUCUUGAAACUGUUCUGGCUUCAUCCAGAGACACAAGAUCUCCAUAUCACGGGUUUUUUCAAAGAAUACUGCUACGACAUGAUCUCCAGUUUAUUCAUGGAAGAAGAUCCUGAAUGGUAUUUCGAAGCGAUGGACUGGGAGACCCAGUUUUUAUUUACUGACAAGUGUUGGACUUCCUUUGUCAAUAAAACGAAGAGAAAAUAUGCGAUUCAGAAGCUCGUGUUGUAUGCGGACUCCUGUGAACUCAAGCAUUAUGAUGUUCUGCUCAAAGCAGUACCUGAUGGUUACUCCUAACUGGCAACGGUUCUGCUGCCAAGUGAUGAUGAGAAUCUGUGGCACUAUCUAGAAGACCACGAGCUAACAAUGACAGUGAAGGAAAUCGCAGUAGAUUGUGCUGACAAGUAUGACAAGCAGGUCAGUCUCCCUGAGGUAUGGAGGGCAAAACAGAAAGCGUUGGAAUUCAGAUUUGGUACGUAUUAUGACUCAUACAACUAUGCCCCAAGGUUGCUUAAGAACAUAUUGUCUUCAAACCCAGGUAGUUUUCUUGACAUCAAGGAUACAGAGGUUGUGGGCUGCAAGGAUUUCCGAGUCCUCAACUGUAUAUUUUGGGCACUUGCACAGUGCAUACAUGCCUUCAGUUACUGUCGCCCUGUGCUUUGUAUUAAGGGCAAACCACUAUGUGGGAGAUAUCAAGGGGUGCUGUUGACUGCCCUUGCGUUUGAUGCUAAUGAUUGCCUCGUUCCAGUAGCAUUUGCUAUUGCUGAGAGAGAGACAAAGGAAAGCUGGCUUUGGUUUCUUAGGAAUUUGAAGCGAUCAGUUGUGAAGGAGCGCUCUGGUGUCUGCAUUAUCCAUGACUGUAAAGUGGAGUUGGUAAAUGCUGUAGAAGAUAUUCAGAAUAACCCUGAUGAACCACACCCAUGGAGGGAUGUACGAAGCCGGUGGUGUAUGCUACACCUUUCUGAAAGCUUCUUGGCAUAUUUUAGCGACAAGAAGUUGGUGAUGAUGUUCGAGAGGCUUUGCCAGCAGAUGCAACCAAGUAAGUUUGCUGACAUCUGGAAGGAGCUAGAUGAGCUGACAUCAAAAUAUAUGGCAGAGAAAGAAGGCAAUACAAGUCAGGAAAUGCAGCAGGGGUCAGGCGAGCUU